GCCAGAGUGGCGGAAUUGGUAGACGCGUCGGAUUCAAAAUCCGAUGGGGUAAAACCCGUGCCGGUUCGAGUCCGGCCUCUGGUACCA
Molecule: transfer RNA, 87 nt
Filed under: Sulfurivirga caldicuralii
Lineage: Bacteria; Pseudomonadati; Pseudomonadota; Gammaproteobacteria; Thiotrichales; Piscirickettsiaceae
Also listed under: 1 other name
Description: tRNA-Leu
Rfam family: tRNA
About the family: Transfer RNA (tRNA) molecules are approximately 80 nucleotides in length. Their secondary structure includes four short double-helical elements and three loops (D, anti-codon, and T loops).
Source: RNAcentral